Molecule: microRNA, 22 nt
Filed under: Nematostella vectensis (starlet sea anemone)
Lineage: Eukaryota; Metazoa; Cnidaria; Anthozoa; Actiniaria; Edwardsiidae
Description: nve-miR-9422
Source: miRBase by way of RNAcentral
UGACAGAAGAUAGAAGCGCUGA